GCCUUCGUAGUGUAGUGAUUAGCACUGUCGGAGCAUAUCCGGAAGGUCCGAGGUUCGAAUCCCGGCAAGAGCA
Molecule: transfer RNA, 73 nt
Filed under: Stegodyphus mimosarum
Lineage: Eukaryota; Metazoa; Arthropoda; Arachnida; Araneae; Eresidae
Rfam family: tRNA
About the family: Transfer RNA (tRNA) molecules are approximately 80 nucleotides in length. Their secondary structure includes four short double-helical elements and three loops (D, anti-codon, and T loops).
Source: Rfam by way of RNAcentral